Molecule: long non-coding RNA, 1088 nt
Filed under: Capra hircus (goat)
Lineage: Eukaryota; Metazoa; Chordata; Mammalia; Artiodactyla; Bovidae
Description: lncRNA (ENSCHIG00010005577.1)
Rfam family: tRNA (bases 1009-1081)
Source: RNAcentral
AUGGCUUGAUGCAGUUAGAUAUAUGUAUAUACUUACAUUCUAUGGUGUUUUAUUUGGUAAAAACACACAAAAUUAAGUUUACCAUAAUAACUAUUUAAAUGUACAUUUCAGUAAUGUUAAGUGUAUCCGCAUUGUUGUACAACAAAGAUUCUCUAAAUCUUUUUAUCUUGCAAAAUUGAAACUGUAUACCCACUGAGCAUGAAUUCCUCCUCCCCAGGGGAAAAUUUUCAUUUUAAUUCAUCCUUAUAAUGAAGCAUUCAGAAUACAUAAAGAACUCCUUAAAAUAAUCUCAAAAUCAGACUACUUCUAGAAAGAGUCAAGGAAUCAUUUAGUACUCUUAAGUGUACAAAUAAAAGAAAAACUAUCCAACUCAAAUCAACUAAUAAAUUAAUAAAAAGGAAUUUAGAGGCUCCUGCAAAUAAUAGUCUUCUAUCUGGGGCUCAAAUGAUGGAACCAGGACUAGCUUCUCUUGCAUUUCUGUUCUGUCUCUAGGUGUUAUUUCCCUUCCCAGGGUGGUGGGAGCAGCACCAGCCAACCCUUUCUUCCUGGGCCUUGUGAGGAGGCUCUUUCUUCCCGGCAAUCCAAACAGACAACUCCUCAGUCUAAUGCAGGAUUAUUUCUUGGAUGGCAUUACCAAUUCACUGAACAUGAACUUGGGCAAACUCCAGGAUUGGGGAGGCCUGGCAUACUGCAGCCCAUGGGUUUGCAAAGAGCUGGACAUGACUUCGUGACUGGACAACAACAAAAGGACUCAGAAAACCUCAGUGUGGCCACCAUCUGCCCAUCACCAUGCUGAAGUUGCUCCAGUGAACUUAGAGGCCAAACUAAGUGAAUUCUGGGUCUUGAGACACAUCAAAGCAGACCACUCCUCCUACUUGGGUGAGCCAGAAUUUUAAAUUUCAGUGUUUAACUUCCUCUCUCCUUUUUCUCCUUUACUUUUUAACUGUUGUUAUUGAAAAUAAUGCAACAUUUUAAAAUUGUACAUAAAAAUAAUUACCCUCAGGGAAUUCCCUGGUUGUCCAGUGGUUAGGACUCAGAACUUUCACUGACGAUGACCUGGGUUCGAUCCCUGGUCAGGGAACUAAUAU